GCAGACACAUUCCAGCCAAUCAGCAGCAGACCCUCCCUCCCAGACCCUCCCACCUCCUGGACAGCAUCCAUUUUACAUUUAUUGUGAAGCUGCAUUCUUAGUGAGCUGUCCAGGAGGUGGGAGGGUCUGGGAGGGAGGGUCUGCUGCUGAUUGGCUGGAAUGUGUCUG
This 168-nucleotide microRNA precursor is filed under the name Pelobates cultripes (western spadefoot toad). Lineage: Eukaryota; Metazoa; Chordata; Amphibia; Anura; Pelobatidae. The record is from RNAcentral.